UUGCUUGCUUCAGCAGCACAUAUACUAAAAUUGGAAUGAUACAGAGGAGGGUGGCAUGGCCCCUGAGCAAGGAUGACAUGCAAAUUCAUGAAACGUUACAUAUUUUU
RNAcentral lists this small nuclear RNA (107 nucleotides) under Pongo abelii (Sumatran orangutan). Lineage: Eukaryota; Metazoa; Chordata; Mammalia; Primates; Hominidae. The record is from RNAcentral.